AGAGUUUGAUCCUGGCUCAGAUUGAACGCUGGCGGCAUGCCUAACACAUGCAAGUCGAACGGAAACGAUGCUAGCUUGCUAGCAGGCGUCGAGUGGCGGACGGGUGAGUAAUGCAUAGGAAUCUACCUAAUAGCGGGGGACAACCUGGUGAAAACCAGGCUAAUACCGCAUAAUCCCUACGGGGCAAAGCAGGGGACCUUCGGGCCUUGCACUAUUAGAUGAGCCUAUGUCGGAUUAGCUAGUUGGUGAGGUAAUGGCUCACCAAGGCAACGAUCCGUAGCUGGUUUGAGAGGAUGAUCAGCCACACUGGGACUGAGACACGGCCCAGACUCCUACGGGAGGCAGCAGUGGGGAAUAUUGCACAAUGGACGCAAGUCUGAUGCAGCAAUGCCGCGUGUGUGAAGAAGGCCUUAGGGUUGUAAAGCACUUUCAGUAGGGAGGAAAAGUUCAAGGUUAAUAACCUUGGGCCCUGACGUUACCUACAGAAGAAGCACCGCUAACU
This 502-nucleotide ribosomal RNA is filed under the name uncultured bacterium. RNAcentral's name for it is "bacterial SSU rRNA". It matches the Rfam family "Bacterial small subunit ribosomal RNA", at positions 8 to 502 of the family's 1533-position model. The record is from RNAcentral.